ACCCGCUGAACUUAAGCAUAUCAAUAAGCGGAGGAAAAGAAACCAACAGGGAUUGCCCUAGUAACGGCGAGUGAAGCGGCAAUAGCUCAAAUUUGAAAGCUGGCCUUCUGGUCCGCAUUGUAAUUUGUAGAGGAUGCUUUUAGGCAGCCGCCGGUCUAAGUUCCUUGGAACAGGACGUCAUAGAGGGUGAGAAUCCCGUAUGUGACCGGCUCUGGCACCUUCUGUAAAGCUCCUUCGACGAGUCGAGUUGUUUGGGAAUGCAGCUCUAAAUGGGAGGUAAAUUUCUUCUAAAGCUAAAUACUGGCGAGAGACCGAUAGCGCACAAGUAGAGUGAUCGAAAGAUGAAAAGCACUUUGGAAAGAGAGUUAAAAAGCACGUGAAAUUGUUGAAAAGGAAGCGCUUGCAAUCAGACUUGGCUUCGGUUGUUCAACAGGUCUUCUGACCUGCCUAUUCAAUCGUUGCCAGGCCAGCAUCAGUUUCGGCGGCCGGAUAAAGACCAUGGGAAUGUGGCCUCUCCUUCGGGGGAGGUGUUAUAGCCCAAGGUGUAAUACGGCCAGCUGGGACUGAGGUCCGCGCUUCGGCUAGGAUGCUGGCGUAAUGGUUGUAAGCGGCCCGUCUUGAAACACGG
RNAcentral lists this ribosomal RNA (628 nucleotides) under uncultured fungus. RNAcentral's name for it is "LSU rRNA". It matches the Rfam family "Eukaryotic large subunit ribosomal RNA", at positions 23 to 664 of the family's 3401-position model. The record is from RNAcentral. Lineage: Eukaryota; Fungi.